AUUGAACGCUGGCGGCAUGCUUUACACAUGCAAGUCGAACGGCAGCGCGGGCUUCGGCCUGGCGGCGAGUGGCGAACGGGUGAGUAAUACAUCGGAACGUGCCCAGUAGUGGGGGAUAGCUCGGCGAAAGCCGGAUUAAUACCGCAUACGACCUGAGGGUGAAAGCGGGGGAUCUUCGGACCUCGCGCUAUUGGAGCGGCCGAUGGCAGAUUAGCUAGUUGGUGGGGUAAAGGCCUACCAAGGCGACGAUCUGUAGCUGGUCUGAGAGGACGACCAGCCACACUGGGAGUGAGACACGGCCCAGACUCCUACGGGAGGCAGCAGUGGGGAAUUUUGGACAAUGGGCGAAAGCCUGAUCCAGCAAUGCCGCGUGUGUGAUGAAGGCCUUCGGGUUGUAAAGCACUUUUGGCGGGAACGAAAAGGACUGUGCCAAUACCACGGUUCGAUGACGGUACCCGCAGAAUAAGCACCGGCUAACUACGUG
RNAcentral lists this ribosomal RNA (484 nucleotides) under uncultured bacterium. RNAcentral's name for it is "partial 16S ribosomal RNA". It matches the Rfam family "Bacterial small subunit ribosomal RNA", at positions 29 to 507 of the family's 1533-position model. The record is from RNAcentral.